UUUUUUAUGGAGAGUUUGAUCCUGGCUCAGGAUGAACGCUGGCGGCGUGCCUAAUACAUGCAAGUCGAGCGAACAGACG
Molecule: ribosomal RNA, 79 nt
Filed under: Staphylococcus epidermidis
Lineage: Bacteria; Bacillati; Bacillota; Bacilli; Caryophanales; Staphylococcaceae
Description: partial 16S ribosomal RNA
Rfam family: Bacterial small subunit ribosomal RNA
Source: RNAcentral